GAUCCUGGCUCAGAACGAACGCUGGUGGCGUGUCUUAUACAUGCAAGUCGAGCGAGGCAGCAAUGCCGAGCGGCGAACGGGUGAGUAACGCGUAAGCAAUCUGCCCCAUAUCAGGAAAUACCCGUGCCAACGCGCGGUUAAUGUCCAGGAGAGUGGCCUUCCGCAUGGAGGGUUGACUAGAGAUUUAUCGGUAUGGGAUGAGCUUGCGUCCGAUUAGCUAGUUGGCGGGGCAACGGCCCACCAAGGCGACGAUCGGUAGCCGGCCUGAGAGGGUGAUCGGCCACAUUGGGACUGAGAUACGGCCCAGACUCCUACGGGAGGCAGCAGUAGGGAAUAUUGCACAAUGGGGGAAACCCUGAUGCAGCAACGCCACGUGUGGGAAGAAGCAUUUCGGUGUGUAAACCACUGUCAUGAGGGAAUAAGGCCCGCCUUCGGACGGACUUGAAUGUACCUUGAGAGGAAGCACCGGCAAACUUCGUGCCAGCCGCAGC
This 491-nucleotide ribosomal RNA is filed under the name uncultured bacterium. Its description in RNAcentral is "bacterial SSU rRNA". It matches the Rfam family "Bacterial small subunit ribosomal RNA", at positions 15 to 518 of the family's 1533-position model. The record is from RNAcentral.